This 468-nucleotide ribosomal RNA is filed under the name uncultured bacterium. RNAcentral describes it as "partial 16S ribosomal RNA". It matches the Rfam family "Bacterial small subunit ribosomal RNA", at positions 28 to 507 of the family's 1533-position model. The record is from RNAcentral.
GACGAACGCUGGCGGCGUGCUUAACACAUGCAAGUCGAACGGAAAGGCCCUGCUUUUGUGGGGUGCUCGAGUGGCGAACGGGUGAGUAACACGUGAGUAACCUGCCCUUGACUUUGGGAUAACUUCAGGAAACUGGGGCUAAUACCGGAUAGGAGCUCCUGCUGCAUGGUGGGGGUUGGAAAGUUUCGGCGGUUGGGGAUGGACUCGCGGCUUAUCAGCUUGUUGGUGGGGUAGUGGCUUACCAAGGCUUUGACGGGUAGCCGGCCUGAGAGGGUGACCGGCCACAGUGGGAUUGUGAGACUGGCCAGACUCCUACGGGAGGCAUCAGUGGUGAAUAUUGCACAAUGGGCGGAAGCCAGUUGCUGCAACGCCGUGUGCGGGAUGACGGACUUCGGGUUGUGAACCGCUUUCGCCUGUGACGAAGCGGGAGUGAAGGUAAUGGGUAGAGAAGCACCGGCUAACUACGUG